UCAUUUUACGGAAUUUCAAUG
RNAcentral lists this non-coding RNA (21 nucleotides) under Caenorhabditis elegans. Lineage: Eukaryota; Metazoa; Nematoda; Chromadorea; Rhabditida; Rhabditidae. The record is from RNAcentral.